This 225-nucleotide ribosomal RNA is filed under the name uncultured Methanomicrobiales archaeon. Its description in RNAcentral is "partial 16S ribosomal RNA". It matches the Rfam family "Archaeal small subunit ribosomal RNA", at positions 643 to 867 of the family's 1478-position model. The record is from RNAcentral. Lineage: Archaea; Methanobacteriati; Methanobacteriota; Methanomicrobia; Methanomicrobiales.
UAAUCCUCGAGGGACCACCUAUGGCGAAGGCAUCUUAUCAGGACGGCUUCGACAGUGAGGAACGAAAGCUGGGGGAGCGAACCGGAUUAGAUACCCGGGUAGUCCCAGCCGUAAACGAUGCGCGUUAGGUGUACUGGUGACCACGAGUCACCGGGGUGCCGAAGGGAAACCGUGAAACGUGCCGCCUGGGCAGUACGGUCGCAAGGCUGAAACUUAAAGGAAUUG